CAGCAGCCGCGGUAAUACGAAGGGUGCAAGCGUUAAUCGGAAUUACUGGGCGUAAAGGGUGCGUAGGCGGUGAGUUAAGUCUGUUGUGAAAUCCCCGGGCUCAACCUGGGAAUGGCAAUGGAUACUGGCUCGCUAGAGUGUGAUAGAGGAUGGUGGAAUUCCCGGUGUAGCGGUGAAAUGCGUAGAGAUGUGGAGGAACACCGAUGGCGAAGGCAGCCCCCUGGGCCAAUACUGACGCUCAUGCACGAAAGCGUGGGGAGCAAACAGGAUUAGAUACCCCCGUAGUCCCUGUCUCUUAUAC
RNAcentral lists this ribosomal RNA (301 nucleotides) under uncultured bacterium. RNAcentral's name for it is "partial 16S ribosomal RNA". It matches the Rfam family "Bacterial small subunit ribosomal RNA", at positions 509 to 807 of the family's 1533-position model. The record is from RNAcentral.